Molecule: ribosomal RNA, 253 nt
Filed under: uncultured bacterium
Lineage: Bacteria
Description: partial 16S ribosomal RNA
Rfam family: Bacterial small subunit ribosomal RNA
Source: RNAcentral
UACGUAGGGUGCAAGCGUUAAUCGGAAUUACUGGGCGUAAAGCGUGCGCAGGCGGUUUUGUAAGUCUGUCGUGAAAGCCCCGGGCUCAACCUGGGAAUUGCGAUGGAGACUGCAAGGCUUGAAUCUGGCAGAGGGGGGUAGAAUUCCACGUGUAGCAGUGAAAUGCGUAGAGAUGUGGAGGAACACCGAUGGCGAAGGCAGCCCCCUGGGUCAAGAUUGGCGCUCAUGCACGAAGGCGUGGGGAGCAAACAGG